Molecule: long non-coding RNA, 206 nt
Filed under: Elaeis guineensis (African oil palm)
Lineage: Eukaryota; Viridiplantae; Streptophyta; Magnoliopsida; Arecales; Arecaceae
Description: long non-coding RNA (EGUI_LNC038867)
Source: RNAcentral
UUUGGCAUGCCAGGCAUCUUUUUGAUGGAAGGAGGUAAGAUAGUCUCAGUGUUCUCUUAAGAUCAUAUCCUUUGGCCAUUUAAUGGUUGUAGUGAAUACUGAUAAGCCAUCAAAUAUGCUUUUUUCUUAUAGCAGUCACCAACAUACGUAUCUAUAUCUUAUUUUAUCCAAUUGAUGCAUGAGAUUAUAUGGAUGCAUGAUAUGUC